UAACCAGACGAAAUUAUCAGUGAAUCAUCAUCCUGUUCCGAGAAAUGAGCAAUAUGGCGCUGGAAAGAUCAAUCAGCUGAUCGUGUCAUGUGGAUUACACGAUUGCAAGGGCGCAAUUAACUCCGUGCAAGCUAUUGUACAGCUAUUUCAUUACGAUAAUUUAAUGUGGAGAGAAAAAAACGGCAACAUUUGAAUUUUAUAAUUA
Long non-coding RNA from Diprion similis, 205 nucleotides. RefSeq lists it as uncharacterized. The record is from RefSeq and is a predicted model, not a curated record. The transcript has 3 exons. NCBI's taxonomy places the organism in Eukaryota, Metazoa, Arthropoda, Insecta, Hymenoptera, Diprionidae.